Molecule: ribosomal RNA, 466 nt
Filed under: uncultured bacterium
Lineage: Bacteria
Description: partial 16S ribosomal RNA
Rfam family: Bacterial small subunit ribosomal RNA
Source: RNAcentral
GACGAACGCUGGCGGCGUGCUUAACACAUGCAAGUCGAACGGAAAGGCCCUGCUUUUGUGGGGUGCUCGAGUGGCGAACGGGUGAGUAACACGUGAGUAACCUGCCCUUGACUUUGGGAUAACUUCAGGAAACUGGGGCUAAUACCGGAUAGGAGCUCCUGCUGCAUGGUGGGGGUUGGAAAGUUUCGGCGGUUGGGGAUGGACUCGCGGCUUAUCAGCUUGUUGGUGGGGUAGUGGCUUACCAAGGCUUUGACGGGUAGCCGGCCUGAGAGGGUGACCGGCCACAUUGGGACUGAGAUACGGCCCAGGCUCCUACGGGAGGCAGCAGUGGGGAAUAUUGCACAAUGGGCGGAAGCCUGAUGCAGCAACGCCGCGUGCGGGAUGACGGCCUUCGGGUUGUAAACCGCUUUCGCCUGUGACGAAGCGUGAGUGACGGUAAUGGGUAAAGAAGCACCGGCUACCUACG